GACAGAGGUGCCGAGCGUUAGGCGGAAUCACUGGGCUUAAAGCGUGUGUAGGCGGAUCGUUAAGUGCCUUGUGAAAUCCCACGGCUCAACCGUGGAACUGCUUGGCAUACUGGCGGUCUUGAGCCACUUAGGGGCUACCGGAACAAACGGUGGAGCGGUGAAAUGCGUAGAUAUCGUUUGGAACGCCAAUGGUGAAAACAGGUAGCUGGGAGUGUGCUGACGCUGAGACGCGAAAGCGUGGGGAGCGAACAGG
Molecule: ribosomal RNA, 253 nt
Filed under: uncultured bacterium
Lineage: Bacteria
Description: partial 16S ribosomal RNA
Rfam family: Bacterial small subunit ribosomal RNA
Source: RNAcentral